Molecule: ribosomal RNA, 460 nt
Filed under: uncultured bacterium
Lineage: Bacteria
Description: partial 16S ribosomal RNA
Rfam family: Bacterial small subunit ribosomal RNA
Source: RNAcentral
CCUACGGGUGGCAGCAGUGAGGAAUAUUGGUCAAUGGCCGGGAGGCUGAACCCGCCAAGUCGCGUGAGGGAUGACUGCCCUACGGGUUGUAAACCUCUUUUGUCAGGGAGCAAAGUGAAGGUCGUGACCUUCUGUGAGAGUACUUUAUGAAUAAGCAUCGGCUAACUCCGUGCCAGCAGCCGCGGUAAUACGGAGGAUCCAAGCGUUAUCCGGAUUUAUUGGGUUUAAAGGGUGCGUAGGCGGAUUGAUAAGUUAGAGGUGAAAUGUCCCAGCUUAACUCGGGAACUGCCUCUAAUACUGUUGGUCUAGAGAGUAGAUGAGGUUGGCGGAAUGUAUGGUGUAGCGGUGAAAUGCUUAGAGAUCACACAGAACACCGAGUGCGAAGGCAGCUUACCAAUCUAUAUCUGACGUUGAGGCACGAAAGUGUGGGGAGCAAACAGGAUUAGAUACCCCUGUAGUC